This 497-nucleotide ribosomal RNA is filed under the name uncultured bacterium. Its description in RNAcentral is "partial 16S ribosomal RNA". It matches the Rfam family "Bacterial small subunit ribosomal RNA", at positions 28 to 507 of the family's 1533-position model. The record is from RNAcentral.
GAUGAACGCUGGCGGCGUGCCUAAUACAUGCAAGUCGAGCGAACAGACGAGGAGCUUGCUCCUCUGACGUUAGCGGCGGACGGGUGAGUAACACGUGGAUAACCUACCUAUAAGACUGGGAUAACUUCGGGAAACCGGAGCUAAUACCGGAUAAUAUAUUGAACCGCAUGGUUCAAUAGUGAAAGACGGUUUUGCUGUCACUUAUAGAUGGAUCCGCGCCGCAUUAGCUAGUUGGUAAGGUAACGGCUUACCAAGGCAACGAUGCGUAGCCGACCUGAGAGGGUGAUCGGCCACACUGGACCUGAGACACGGUCCAGACUCCUACGGGAGGCAGCAGUAGGGAAUCUUCCGCAAUGGGCGAAAGCCUGACGGAGCACCGCCGCGUGAGUGAUGAAGGUCUUCGGAUCGUAAAUCUCUGUUAUUAGGGAAGAACAAAUGUGUAAGUAACUAUGCACGUCUUGACGGUACCUAAUCAGAAAGCCACGGCUAACUACGUG